AACGAACGCUGGCGGCAUGCCUAACACAUGCAAGUCGAACGAGACCUUCGGGUCUAGUGGCGCACGGGUGCGUAACGCGUGGGAACCUGCCCUUAGGUUCGGAAUAACUCCCCGAAAGGGGUGCUAAUACCGGAUAAUGUCUUCGGACCAAAGAUUUAUCGCCUUUGGAUGGGCCCGCGUUGGAUUAGCUAGUUGGUAGGGUAAAAGCCUACCAAGGCGACGAUCCAUAGCUGGUCUGAGAGGAUGUUCAGCCACACUGGGACUGAGACACGGCCCAGACUCCUACGGGAGGCAGCAGUGGGGAAUAUUGGACAAUGGGCGAAAGCCUGAUCCAGCAAUGCCGCGUGAGUGAUGAAGGCCUUAGGGUUGUAAAGCUCUUUUACCCGUGAUGAUAAUGACAGUACCGGGAGAAUAAGCUCCGGCUAACUCCGAG
RNAcentral lists this ribosomal RNA (433 nucleotides) under uncultured bacterium. Its description in RNAcentral is "partial 16S ribosomal RNA". It matches the Rfam family "Bacterial small subunit ribosomal RNA", at positions 29 to 507 of the family's 1533-position model. The record is from RNAcentral.